GCGUUGUGACCCUUGUUGUUGAUUGUUAGGCACUUUUGGUUGUUGGACUGCUGGAGAGUUUGGUUUUAGUUUCUCGAAGGUUCCAAGUCAUCGUCCUUUGGGUUCUAAAAUCUGCUAAGAGGAAAUUUUGAGUCGAAAUCUCACGAGUGUUGGUUGAUCAAGUUUCGUUGGGGGACUUAGUUCAGGGGUUUUUGGUUGGAGAUCAUUAGCUUGGAUUAAAAAUCGAAAUUUGAUUUCGAGGUAAGGGUAGAGAUGCACCGGCGAUGGCGCAGCGGAAUUCAUGAUCGAGCCACUGGGACUA
This is a non-coding RNA of Benincasa hispida (wax gourd), 301 nucleotides long. NCBI's taxonomy places the organism in Eukaryota, Viridiplantae, Streptophyta, Magnoliopsida, Cucurbitales, Cucurbitaceae. The record is from RefSeq and is a predicted model, not a curated record.